CUUCACUUCUGUGGCUACAACGGAAGGGCCCCGAGCCCCGGGCGGAGCGGACGAGGCUGGCACCCCCGCCCCCCACGCCCUCCCGCCCUCCCGCCCUCGGAAGUGUGGUGCUCUGUCGCCACCUGGUGGCCGUAGCCGACCUGCGGGGACGACCGGGCUCCCCCGUCAGGGGCGGGUUUCGGAGCGCGGCUUCCCUCCCGCGAAGGCCGAAAAAGAGGCGGUGGGCCCGGGUGGCCUCCUGGCGGGGCGCGCGGCUGACAAAGAGCGAGGGUGGAAGGGCAACUGAGGCUUGAGAGUCAACUGACUGGAGGCGACAAUGGCCCCAUUGUGUCCGGGGCCUUGACCUUGAUUUCCUGCCACUUCUCUCCGGCGUGGCAUCACCCGGGUCUGAUUGGCCGGGCGUCUGCUCCGCGACGGGGCGCGCCCCGGGCUGGAACCCGAGCGACCCGCAAGGCCGAGGUGCGCGACUGUCCCCAGGAAGCCCGGAGAAGGCCGCCUCCUCUCAGAAGUCCUCAGCCUCCCCCCUCUGCACGGCCGGGAGUGCGGGGCCGGCACCAGGCUCGCGCGGAAAGGUCCCUGAGAUGGGCCACAGAGUCUCCCUGGCCAGACAGCACCAGGAUGCAGGACACUACAGGACCUCGCCGUUCCAGAUGAUGCAGCAGGGAAACAGCAAAUCGAUUAAACAAGGCACCGUUUUUCUACCUUAGCC
Molecule: long non-coding RNA, 709 nt
Filed under: Canis lupus familiaris (dog)
Lineage: Eukaryota; Metazoa; Chordata; Mammalia; Carnivora; Canidae
Description: lncRNA (ENSCAFG00000050737.1)
Source: RNAcentral